CUUCCCUGUGUCAAUUCUCUUCCUGUUCACUCGGGAACUCUCUGGAACACUCUCCCUCAUCUCUCUCCCUCCUCCCUCUGCAACAACAGCAACAACGACCCGAGGCACCACCUCGCCUCGCCCCUCCGGCGAGCUUCACCGCCACCAAAAACCAUCACUGUCUACCCUGCACCUCCCCGUUCCCCUCGUCCCGCUCUCUCUCCUCUGUGCUCGAGGCACAGCUGCAGGAAUGGCAGCCACCAUCGCCAUACUUCCCGGCGAGAUUUCACGGUGCUCCGACCUGGGAACAGAGAAUGCAAGAAACUCAUGAUCGAUUGAACUUCAUGGGCAUGUUUGAUACGCAUGAUCGAUUUGGCUCGGACUAAUUGUAGGGAAUGGUUUGAAUUGGUUUGGCUUGGACUGAUUGUAGGGAACGGUUUGAAUUGGUUUGGCUCGGACUAAUUGUAGGGAAUUGUUUGAUACGCAAGUUCGAUUUUGAUAGCAGAUGAAAGCCAGAUGCAAGAUUCAUCAUCGUUGUGAGGUUUCCUGUCCUUGUGUCUCAAGUUAGGGGUUUGGAUUGGUUCUAUUGAGGCCCGUCAUUUUGGUCCUCAUCCGUUUGGUUCAAGCUGAGAUUGGUGUUGCAUGUGCAGAACAGUUUGUAAUAGCAUUAUCUCCUUCAACCUUCGCAAUUACAAGAUAAUUCACAAUCAAA
Molecule: long non-coding RNA, 691 nt
Organism: Pyrus x bretschneideri (Chinese white pear)
Lineage: Eukaryota; Viridiplantae; Streptophyta; Magnoliopsida; Rosales; Rosaceae
Exons: 2
Source: RefSeq, a predicted model, not a curated record